This is a non-coding RNA of Naganishia cerealis, 91 nucleotides long. Lineage: Eukaryota; Fungi; Basidiomycota; Tremellomycetes; Filobasidiales; Filobasidiaceae. The record is from the annotation of a GenBank genome assembly.
GGCGGCUUGAUGUAGUGGUUAUCAUGUUUGCUUUACAUUACGAAGUGUAGUGAGACGCAAAAUGUCGUGAGUUCGACCCUCACAGCUGUCA